CUUAAACAGCCCGUCUGGAAACACGGACCAAGGAGUCUAGCAUGGAAGCGAGUGUUAGGGUGCCAAACCCGAACGCGCAAUGAAAGUGAAGGCCUGCUUGCAGGCUGAGGUGGGAUCCCGCAAGGGCGCACCAUCGACCGAUCACAUUUUCGGAUGAGAUUUGAGUAUGAGCUUUUCUGCUGGGACCCGAAAGAUGGUGAACUAUGCCUGAAUAGGGCGAAGCCAGGGGAAACUCUGGUGGAGGCUCGUAGCGAUACUGACGUGCAAAUCGUUCGUCGGAUUUGGGUAUAGGGGCGAAAGACUAAUCGAAC
Molecule: ribosomal RNA, 311 nt
Filed under: Alexandrium tamarense
Lineage: Eukaryota; Dinophyceae; Gonyaulacales; Pyrocystaceae
Description: partial Eukaryotic large subunit ribosomal RNA
Rfam family: Eukaryotic large subunit ribosomal RNA
Source: RNAcentral